UGGGGAAUUUUGGACAAUGGGCGAAAGCCUGAUCCAGCAAUGCCGCGUGAGUGAAGAAGGCCUUCGGGUUGUAAAGCUCUUUCGGACAGAACGAAAUCUCUUGCUCUAACAUAGCGAGAGUCUGACGGUACUGUAAUAAGAAGCACCGGCUAACUACGUGCCAGCAGCCGCGGUAAUACGUAGGGUGCGAGCGUUAAUCGGAAUUACUGGGCGUAAAGCGUGCGCAGGCGGUUAUAUAAGCCAGAUGUGAAAGCCCCGAGCUUAACUUGGGAAUUGCGUUUGGAACUGUAUAACUAGAAUUCAGCAGAGGGGGAUGGAAUUCCACGUGUAGCAGUGAAAUGCGUAGAGAUGUGGAGGAACACCAAUGGCGAAGGCAGUCCCCUGGGCUAGAAUUGACGCU
Molecule: ribosomal RNA, 400 nt
Filed under: uncultured bacterium
Lineage: Bacteria
Description: bacterial SSU rRNA
Rfam family: Bacterial small subunit ribosomal RNA
Source: RNAcentral